UGGGGAAUAUUGGACAAUGGGCGAAAGCCUGAUCCAGCCAUGCCGCGUGUGUGAAGAAGGUCUUCGGAUUGUAAAGCACUUUAAGUUGGGAGGAAGGGCAGUAAGCGAAUACCUUGCUGUUUUGACGUUACCGACAGAAUAAGCACCGGCUAACUCUGUGCCAGCAGCCGCGGUAAUACAGAGGGUGCAAGCGUUAAUCGGAAUUACUGGGCGUAAAGCGCGCGUAGGUGGUUCGUUAAGUUGAAUGUGAAAGCCCCGGGCUCAACCUUGGAACUUCCAUCCAAACCGGCGGGGUUGGGGAGGGCAGAGGGGGGUGGAAUUUCCCGGGUAGCCGUUGAAUGCGUUGGUAUUGGGAAGAACACCAGUGGCGAAGGCGACCACCUGGGCUCAUACUGACACUGAGGUGCGAAAGCGUGGGGAGCAAACAGG
Molecule: ribosomal RNA, 429 nt
Filed under: Pseudomonadota bacterium
Lineage: Bacteria; Pseudomonadati; Pseudomonadota
Description: Proteobacteria bacterium partial 16S ribosomal RNA
Rfam family: Bacterial small subunit ribosomal RNA
Source: RNAcentral